GGAGAGGUGCCAGAGUGGCCGAAUGGACUGGUUUUGAAAACCAGCGUCCUUCACCGGACCGUGGGUUCAAAUCCCACCCUCUCCGCCA
This 88-nucleotide transfer RNA is filed under the name Planctomycetota bacterium. RNAcentral describes it as "Planctomycetes bacterium tRNA-Ser". It matches the Rfam family "tRNA". Rfam says of the family: Transfer RNA (tRNA) molecules are approximately 80 nucleotides in length. Their secondary structure includes four short double-helical elements and three loops (D, anti-codon, and T loops). Further hydrogen bonds mediate the characteristic L-shaped molecular structure. tRNAs have two regions of fundamental functional importance: the anti-codon, which is responsible for specific mRNA codon recognition, and the 3' end, to which the tRNAs corresponding amino acid is attached (by aminoacyl-tRNA synthetases). tRNAs cope with the degeneracy of the genetic code in two manners: having more than one tRNA (with a specific anti-codon) for a particular amino acid; and 'wobble' base-pairing, i.e. permitting non-standard base-pairing at the 3rd anti-codon position. Lineage: Bacteria; Pseudomonadati; Planctomycetota. The record is from RNAcentral.